Thermincola sp. is the source of this 100-nucleotide regulatory RNA element. It matches the Rfam family "Pyrrolysine insertion sequence mttB". The record is from Rfam. Lineage: Bacteria; Bacillati; Bacillota; Clostridia; Eubacteriales; Thermincolaceae.
UAGACUGACAGUAAAGUUCCUGAUCCCCAGCAAGCUUUCGAGUUUGCCCUUACCGGAAUUAUACCAGCGUUAGCAGGAGCUAACAUGAUAUAUGGUCUGG